CCAGGUUAUGGCGCCAUAUGCUGACACUCAUCAGACCCCUAGCAAAGGUGUUAGUUGAUAUAGCCAAAAAGACGGUGACCAUGGAAGCUGGAAUCCUCUAAGGCGUACAUAACAACUCACCUGUUGAAUCAACUAAAACCUGAAAAUGGAUGGCAUCAGAACAUCUGGCCCAUAACUGG
Molecule: non-coding RNA, 179 nt
Filed under: Oreochromis niloticus (Nile tilapia)
Lineage: Eukaryota; Metazoa; Chordata; Actinopteri; Cichliformes; Cichlidae
Description: Eukaryotic large subunit ribosomal RNA
Rfam family: Eukaryotic large subunit ribosomal RNA
Source: Rfam by way of RNAcentral